Molecule: transfer RNA, 82 nt
Filed under: Cordylochernes scorpioides
Lineage: Eukaryota; Metazoa; Arthropoda; Arachnida; Pseudoscorpiones; Chernetidae
Description: tRNA-Thr
Rfam family: tRNA (bases 7-66)
About the family: Transfer RNA (tRNA) molecules are approximately 80 nucleotides in length.
Source: RNAcentral
AUAAAAGUAGCCUAGUGGACAAGGCAUCUGCCCGGUAAGCGGAACACUGUGGGUUCAUUUCCCAUCCCUGGACACUUUUAUU